Molecule: long non-coding RNA, 808 nt
Organism: Brassica napus (rape)
Lineage: Eukaryota; Viridiplantae; Streptophyta; Magnoliopsida; Brassicales; Brassicaceae
Exons: 3
Source: RefSeq, a predicted model, not a curated record
AUAUAGAUUGUGUUUUUUUUUCUAGAAAAAAAUUUAGGUUAUAAUUGUGUUUAAAACCUACUAAAAUUUGUUGAUGUUGUAUAUGAUAUUAUGAACUGAUUAAUAUUUAAUAAAAGUAAAGUUUUUUUUUCAAAUUUUGCUUUAAUUGGAAUUUCUAUUUAGUAUAAGUUUUAAAAUCAAAUAAAACUAUUAGAAAUCAUAUAGAGAUAUGACAAAAGAUUAUUGACAAAAAAUAGAAUUCACAAAAAAAAAAAUUAAACGGGCUAAACGGAUACUAUCAACAUAAAUGAGCUAACAUUAAACGAGUUUAAACGGGUAACAGGUCUAAACGGACUUGACAAUAAACGGGCCUAAAUGGGCAGGGUCAGACUCUGACCUUCUCCAUCACCGAAACGGUCCCUUUUACAGAUUCUUCAUGUUAAAUCCCUUAUUAAUUCAAUCUAACCACAUGUGUUCAAAAAAAAAAAAAAAAAAAUCAAUCUAACCACGACCUCCACCUACGUUUUGACAUGCUCCUCUUCGAUGGCAACCUCAGCCAAAACAGCAUGUAAUGUGAAGAAAGGUGGCGAGCUCAUGGACAGUGUCAUGCUUCAACCACUUUUGACUGGUUAACCGAAACGUUUUCCCCAAUUCCAGAAGAACACUUGCUUGGCCUAGCCAACACAAAUACCCAGCUUCCAGACAUUAUCGCUGAGACUGUGACCAUAGCUGAACUAAACGAGUUUAUCCUCAUUGCCCAGCGCCAGGCUGAGGUUGAAUUUGUCUGCACCGGGCACUGGAUUUAACAUGGACAAAGGCUGGUGCUAUG